UAGAGAAAUAUAACAGAGAAUAUAAUGGGUACUCUAAAGUCCAAACAGAAAGCAGUUUUUUUUUUUUUUUUUUUUUUACAGGGAAAGCAGAGUUUAACUCAAAAAAAUGAAGCCAACAGGCAUUAUAAUUGUCCUUAGGCUUAUAUUAAUGUUUUUUUUUUUUUUUUUUAUGUAAUUAUGUUAUAUAUAUAUAUAUAUGAGCUAGCAAGCUUUAUUAGUGCCUUGUAAACAAAAAAGUCUUGUUAACUAAUGCCUCCAAAACACUAGUUAAGGAAAAAAAAAAUAUUUGCAUUGAAAAUAUGGGAGACCCUAAUAUGGACCUCAAUUUAAAGGGACCAUUGGUGAACCUCACAAAGUGACUUAUUAUAGCCGGUCAUUUUUUCUUACUGCAAUCAAAUUAACUCUCUUACUCUUCUCUAUCCCCUCUUAUAUGCUUCAUUUGUUUCUUCACCAAUGUCAUUUUUGGCUCCACCACUCCAUUCCCUUCCCCAAUCCUCUCUCUUCUUUCAUAUUUCAUUUUCAUCUUUACAAACCACAAAGUUUAGUAUUAUUAUUUGAUGUUGUUUGCCUUUUCAAAGCCUCCAAACAAAAAUUGAAUCAGAGGGGAUAUCUGAGGUGAUUGUAAUUUUUGUAGUUGUGGUUGAAAUUUGAAGCUUUUGGGUGAAGGGAGUUAAAGGGACAAAUGUGACAUUGUGGCUGUUUGUUGCUGUUGAUGACAAAAUAGCCCAACAGAUUACUAGUACUCUCCUAGAGACAAAUCUAAUUAGAAACACUCACACAAAUGAAAAGGAUUGACCCAUUCACUAAGAGUGACGUGUAUAAAGGAAUGGGCAAAAUAGGACGUGUUCAUGAUCACAAAGGGUAAUCCGAGUAAUUAGGAAACGAAUCGACAAUGGACAGAUUGAAGGUGGAUAGUUGAGGUUUGAGGUUUGUUCACCAGCAUAGACUUUGACAUGAACCAGCGAGAAGAGAUGUAAAGAGAGAAGAUGAAAUUAAAUCCAGUAAUUAAGCCUCAAAACAAAACAUAAAAGAUAGUGACCGGCUAUAGUAAGUAAGUAACAAAGAUUCACCAAUGGUCCCUUUAAAUUGAGGUCCAUAUUAGGGACUACCUGAAAACAUAAUUUUUUACAUUUUUUAACUUUAUUAUAUAAGUUUUAAGAUACUUAUACUAUAUUU
RNAcentral lists this long non-coding RNA (1176 nucleotides) under Medicago truncatula (barrel medic). Its description in RNAcentral is "lncRNA gene28859". The record is from RNAcentral. Lineage: Eukaryota; Viridiplantae; Streptophyta; Magnoliopsida; Fabales; Fabaceae.